RNAcentral lists this ribosomal RNA (443 nucleotides) under uncultured bacterium. RNAcentral describes it as "partial 16S ribosomal RNA". It matches the Rfam family "Bacterial small subunit ribosomal RNA", at positions 338 to 795 of the family's 1533-position model. The record is from RNAcentral.
CCUACGGGUGGCAGCAGUGGGGAAUAUUGGGCAAUGGGCGCAAGCCUUACCCAGCAAUACCGCGUGAGUGAAGAAGGUUUUCGGAUUGUAAAGCUCUUUGAUCAGGGACGAACAGAUGACGGUACCUGAAGUACAAGCCCCGGCUGACCACGUGCCCGCAGCCGCGGUGAAACCGAGGGGGCGAGCGUUGUCCAGUAUGACUGGGCGUAAAGGGUGCGUGAGCGGGAUAAUAAGUUAUGAGGGAAACACCCAGGGCUUAACUCGGGUGCUGCUUCUGAGACUGUUGGGCUGGAGUGCGGGAGAGGUUAGUGGAAUUCCUAGUGUAGCGGUGGAAUGCGUAGAUAUUAGGAGGAACACCAGAGGCGAAGGCGAUUAACUGGACCGUAACUGACGCUGAGGCACGAAAGUGUGGGUAGCAAACAGGAUUAGAUACCCGAGUAGUC